RNAcentral lists this ribosomal RNA (254 nucleotides) under uncultured bacterium. Its description in RNAcentral is "partial 16S ribosomal RNA". It matches the Rfam family "Bacterial small subunit ribosomal RNA", at positions 524 to 776 of the family's 1533-position model. The record is from RNAcentral.
UACGUAGGGCGCAAGCGUUAUCCGGAAUUAUUGGGCGUAAAGGGCGCGUAGGCGGUCGUGACAAGUCACUUGUGAAAUCUCCGGGCUUAACUCGGAACGGUCAAGUGAUACUGUCGGACUAGAGUACAGAAGGGGCAACUGGAAUUCUCGGUGUAGCGGUGAAAUGCGUAGAUAUCGAGAGGAACACCUGCGGCGAAGGCGGGUUGCUGGGCUGAUACUGACGCUGAGGCGCGAAAGCCAGGGGAGCGAACGGG